AGGAAGGCAAGAAUCCAACGCUUCAAACCGUGUACGAUUUGGAGCUGAAACGAGGAAGAUAUGGCCUUCGGAAGACAACUGCUCCAGGUGUGCGAAUGGUGUGCGAAAUUCGCACACCCCCUUAGCUGUGCGAAUGGUGUGCGAAACUCGCACACCCCCCUCAGGUGUGAGAAAAUUCACACACCCCAUGCGUGGUGCGAAUUUUCCUCUGUUUUUGCCGACUCCACUUUAGAUAUUUUCUUUUGUAUUUUUUGAUGUAAUUUCCUUUCUUCUCCUUGUAACAAGCCAAUCACAAGCUUUGCUUUUGUAAAAACUAUAUAAGAGGUGGAAAUCACCUCUUGGAGAUAUCACGCGUGUUAUGUUUUACACUUAGAAAAAUAUACAGAGCUCUCUCGUUUUCCCUUUUCUCUUUACUAUUUUCUUUUUCUUGGAAGCCAAACAACCUCUGAGGAUGUUUUCUCAGAGGAUGAGAGGCUAAACUUUUGGUUUCUUGGAGUGAUGGAAGCUAGGUGAAAAGUCCAGAUGAAAGGUGGAAAACGCUCGUGCCUUAAAUACAGGUAGUUGAAGUUCAUAAAUGGCUUUUAAAUCCAAAGUUUUGCUUUAAAUCCCUUAGAAUUACUUUGAAUGGCCAAUACAUGGUAAGCUUCAGGUCUCUAUGGAUGCUUAUUGCUAGAUCCAUAUCAGUCCAUUAGUUAUCAUGUACGAGCCAUUGGAAAGUGGUUCAAGCUGAAGGCCCAUAGUGUCUAUAGCCAUUAAUGGACCUUGACUACCAUUUCUAUUGAUUUUUAUGGAUUAAAUCUUCAUUGUUAAACCUAUACCGGUUCGGGAAAUAACUAUAGGUUAAAUCCCCAAUGGGAGGAGAAAAAUCCAGAAUUUUCCACUUUGCAUUCUAAACUUGAUCCUAGCAAUCCUGAGCUCCGGGAGACUUUCUUUCUUCCAUUUUUAAUUAGUUUAUGUUAAUUUAGUUUCAAACACUUUCAAAACAAAUUUUAUUUUCUUUUAAACUCUAAGUUUUUGAUAAAGGGAAUCAUUAAAUUCAAUUCCUAAUCAUGAGUAUAUCAUUGGUAGAAUGAAAACCCAUCCCAGAGUUCGACCUUAGAGCCACUAUACUAUAGUAUCUUUGCUACACUAGUAUGAGGUCAUAGGUUUUAUAAAUGUUUUUUAUUAAAUGACCCGACUGGAUUUACAUCCGCGAAUCAAAAUGGCGCCGUUGCCGGGGAUGGUGCCACGAUACAGUGAUACAACCUUUUAGAGGGUACUUGUGAUUUUCAUCACAAGUUUGGUGAAUUCCUUUUUCACUAACUUUAUUUCCUUUUUUUUAUUGUAGAAUUUCUUUUGUUUUCUUUCUAACUUUAACUUUCUUCUAGUUUUCUUUUGUUUUUGUUGUCUUUGUUUUGUUUUCAGGCAAGUAGUGAUUUGUGCAUGCCCUAUUGGAUUCGGGACCAAGAGGGAAGAUUAGUAAGGAUUGAGAAUCCUCAAGACACAGAGUUGGAUAUCUGUGUAAACAUCAUGGACCCUCCACAAGAGGAUCAGAAUUCUCAACAAGGUCAAGGGGGUAAUCCAAAUGCAUAUCUAUCCAUGAGGGAUAGAAUGCACCCACCAAGGAUGAGUGCACCCUCAUGCAUCAUACCUCCUCUUGAGCAGCUGAUUAUAAGGCCCCAUAUUGUGCCCCUUCUACCAAAUUUCCAUGGAAUGGAGAGUGAGAAUCCAUAUGCCCACAUCAAGGAGUUUGAGGAGGUGUGCAAUACCUUUAGAGAGGGAGGAGCUUCAAUAGACUUGAUGAGACUCAAGCUAUUCCCUUUCACUUUGAAGGACAAGGCAAAAAUAUGGCUUAAUUAUUUAAGGCCAAGGAGCAUAAGGAAUUGGGUUGAUCUUCAGGUCGAGUUUUUGAAGAAAUUUUUCCCCACCCAUAGGACCAAUGGGUUGAAGAGACAAAUCUCAAACUUUUCUGCAAAAGAAAAUGAGAAGUUCCAUGAAUGUUGGGAAAGGUAUAUGGAGGCCAUCAAUGCUUAUCCUCAUCAUGGCUUUGAUACAUGGCUCUUGGUGAGCUAUUUCUAUGAUGGGAUGUCUUCCUCCAUGAAGCAAAUUCUUGAAACCAUGUGUGGGGGAGAUUUUAUGAGUAAGAAUCCGGAAGAAGCCAUGGAUUUUUUAAGUUAUGUAUCUGAGGUAACAAGAGGAUGGGAUGAGCCCAACUCAAAGGAAUUGGGAAGGAUGAAAGCUCCUGUAAAUCCAANNNNNNNNNNNNNNNNNNNNNNNNNNNNNNNNNNNNNNNNNNNNNNNNNNNNNNNNNNNNNNNNNNNNNNNNNNNNNNNNNNNNNNNNNNNNNNNNNNNNGAUGGGAUGAGCCCACUCAAAGGAAUUGGGAAGGAUGAAAGCUCCUGUAAAUCCAAAGGGUGGAAUGUACAUGUUAAGUGAAGACAUGGACAUGAAAGCUAAGGUGGCAACAAUAGCAAGGAGGUUGGAAGAACUUGAGUUGAAAAAGAUGUAUGAAGUCCAAGCCAUUUUCGAGACUCAAGCCCAUGCCAUGCCAUGCACCAUUUGCCAAUCAUGUGAUCAUGUGGUAGAUGAGUGCCCAACCAUGCCAGCUGUGAGGGAGAUGUUAGGUGAUCAAGCCAAUGUUGUGGGGCAAUUUAGGCCUAACAACAAUGCACCUUAUGGAAACACCUAUAAUUCAAGCUGGAGAAACCAUCCAAAUUUUUCUUGGAAACCAAGACCACCUCCAUACCAACCGCAAGCCCAAACUCAAGCACCUCAACAAACCUCUUCAGUGGAGCAAGCCAUUGCGAACCUAAGUAAAGUCAUGAAUGACUUUGUGGGUGAACAAAGGGCAAUCAACUCCCAAUUGCACCAAAAGAUUGAGAAUGUUGAGAGUUCUCUAAAUAAGAGAAUGGAUGGGAUGCAAAAUGAUCUAUAUCAGAAGAUAGAUAAUAUUCAAUACUCCAUCUCUAGGCUUACCAACCUCAACACAGUGAAUGAGAAAAGAAAGUUCCCCUCUCAACCAAGCCAACAUCCUAAGGGUGUUCAUGAAGUUGAAACCCAAGAGGGGGAUUCUUCAAAGUUGAGGGAGGUCAAAGCUGUGAUCACCUUGAGGAGUGGAAAGGAGGUUGAUCAACCCUUGCCUAAGGUGAGGCAAGAUGAAGAACUCUUGUCAAAGAAAACCUUGGUUAAAGAGAGCAAUAACCAAGAAGAGGAGAGUGGGAAGAAAAGUGCAUCCAAAUCAAGCAUUGAAGAAGAGCCGAGGAUAGUGAUUAAAGAAGAUAUGAUGAAGAAACAUAUGCCUCCCCCUUUUCCUCAAGCUUUACAUGGAAAGAAGGAAAUCAAGAAUUCAUCAGAAAUUCUUGAAGUCUUGAGACAAGUGAAGGUGAAUAUACCCUUACUUGAUAUGAUCAAGCAAGUCCCCACAUAUGCAAAGUUUCUAAAGGACUUGUGCACGGUUAAGAGAGGGCUACAUGUGAUAAAUAAUGCAUUCCUCACUGAGCAAGUAAGUGCUAUCAUUCAGAGUAAGUCUCCAGUUAAGUAUAAAGAUCCGGGUUGCCCCACCAUUGCAGUCAACAUUGGAGGGACACUUGUGGAGAAAGCUUUACUAGACUUGGGGGCAAGUGUGAAUUUGCUCCCAUACUCUGUGUACAAGCAACUGGGACUUGGAGGAUUGAAGCCCACAACCAUCACUCUCUCCUUAGCUGAUAGGUCUGUCAAAAUCCCAAGGGGGGUGAUAGAGGAUGUUCUAGUUCAAGUGGACAAAUUCUACUAUCCCGUGGAUUUUGUUGUGCUUGAUACUGAUCCCACUGUUAAGGAAGCCAAUUACGUGCCAAUCAUCCUUGGGAGACCUUUCCUGGCUACCUCCAAUGCCAUCAUCAAUUGUAGAAAUGGGGUGAUGCAACUCAUAUUUGGAAACAUGACCUUGGAAUUAAACAUAUUCCAUCUUUGCAAGAGGCAUCUUCACCCAGAUGAGGAUGAAGGAUUGGAGGAGGUGUGCCUGAUCAACACCUUGGUUGAAGAGCAUUGUGACAAGAAUUUAGAAGAGAACCUGAAUGAAAGCCUUGAAGUGCUUGAAGAAGGGUUACCUGAACCCUCUGAUGUGCUAACCAUCAUGUCUCCUUGGAGGAGAAAGGAAGAGAUCUUACCCUUGUUCAAUGAGGAGGACUCAAAAGGAGCAGCUAGGGAGGACCCUCCAAAGCUAGUUUUGAAGCCACUUCCUGUUGAUUUAAAUGCAAACUUCAUAUGGGAUCCGGGCAAGCUAAAUCCGGAUCCAAUUUUUUGAUGGACUUAGUCUUUCUAAAGACUAGCUAGUCCAUAUCUUUUUGUUUUAUUUUUAAACUUUAUUUGAUUUUGAUUUCUUGCUUUAAUUUUAUUUUGGUUUGAUUGAACUUAGGUUUUUUGAUGAUCUUGCUAUGAGGGCUGUUUUCGGACAAAGAGUCUUGCUUUAUGACUCUAAGCUUCAUCUUUUUCCGGGAAAAUUGAAAUCAAGGUGGACGAGUCCUUUCAUAAUUCAUGAAGUGCAACCAAAUGGAGUAGUGGAACUACUCAACUUCAAUAGCACUCGAACUUUCAAAGUUAAUGGGCAUCGUCUCAAGCCCUAUAUCGAAUCUUUUUCCCGAGACAAGGAGGAAUUCAUCCUCCUUGAUCCACCUCCAACAUGAAAACACUUGGUUCAUGGUUGAACUUAGUCUCUCCAAAGACUAAAAAGUUCAUCCUCUUUUUGUUCUCUUUUAAGUUGAUUUUAGUUUAAUCUAAUGUUUUCUUGUGUUUAUGCAUGUUUUGAUUUCUAUUUUUGACUUUAAUUUCAUUCUAAUGUGGUUUGAUUUCUAUUUUUUGUGUUAACAUGUAGGUAGGAAGGCUUGAAGAAUGAAGUCUUGGUGAAAACAAGGGAAAACAGGGGAGAAAAGACAAGACUCAGCAAAAUUCGCACACCCCCUUGUGGUGUGCGAAAAUUUCGCACACCACUUACCCUGUGCGAAUUUGCUUUUGCACCACUUUUCAAAAAUUGCAUGCUCUCGGUCCCUUGUGUGAAUUUCACAGGAAUGUGAACCUUGUGCGAACCCUGUGCGAGUUCAUUUUUUGCGCCAAUUUUCAAAACCAUGCUCUCUGUCUUGGAGAAUCACAGGUAUGCGAAAAUUUCGCACACCAUUUUCCCCUGUGCGAAAUUCAUUUUUCUCUUUAAAAGCUAUGUUCUCCACUUCAAAGUCUUAGCUUCUUCUUCAAUUUUCUCAAAACCUCUCUUCCGAUCACCCAUUUCCAUCCAUAAAGCCCCUCUUCUUCAUCAUUCCUCAUCAUCAACACCACCAUGGCAGCCCAUCUCCAUAGCUCCAUUCCAUAGCCACGCAUUCACUAUUCACCACUUCCCAUUUUCGGUAAUUUCACCUCCUUCCACCAUCAAAAUCCUUUCCAAUCUUCACCCAACCCUCUAAAUCCAUCCACAAUCCAAUCCCAAACCUUGUUCUUACCAAACCAAAGCCUAAACCAUAAGCAUUCAAGCCAUGGUUUCUUCAUAAGAAACCCAUUGCCGCCGGCCAUGGGAGCUCCCNNNNNNNNNNNNNNNNNNNNNNNNNNNNNNNNNNNNNNNNNNNNNNNNNNNNNNNNNNNNNNNNNNNNNNNNNNNNNNNNNNNNNNNNNNNNNNNNNNNNCCCCCCCCCCUUGUGCAAAAUUUCAGCUUUUCCAUCCCUACCUUCCCUAAUCCCAAACCUCUGAGCCUCAUUUCAUCGCUUCAUCAUGCCUAAGACCCGAUGAGGAUCUACCACAGCUCCCCAGAGCAGUCAGAGAGCCGCCCUUGUGCGGGCCCCACUAGAUGCACCCUCACAUUUACCUGAUUCUGCCCCUCAGAGAAGAUACCAUACGAGGAGAGCAUCUGCUACGUCUGUGGCCCCUCCACAAAUUCCACCUCGGAGUCCUCCUACAAAGAAAGCCAAGACUUCAGAGCCAAGAGAGUCCUCCAGAGCACCUCGGCAUUCACAGUCUCAGCCUUCUUCCGCCAGGCGCCCUAGACCCAGCUUGCCCAUUGAGGGCAACUCCGAUUUCCGAUCGAGAGACUUUCAUGUUGAGGCAUAUUUCGAUCACUCUCUUAUGCGACAGCAGCCUGAGUUGCGGGAUUCAUACCGCCUACUUGAGAGACCCUCGUUCAGAGCCCCGCCGCCAUUGUCGAGAGAGAUUCUCUCUUGACCAAUGGACUCAGAUAUGGCUCCAUCGCCAGUCCCCAGAACUUCCCGAGCCAAGGGAAGUCCCUCCUGCUCCGUCCACUUCAGACCCUCCACAGCCAGUACCGGAGGCAGCAUCAUCUGAUGCCCCACCUGUUGUUCCUCCUACAUCAGAGCCGCCCAUUACUAUCCCUGGUCCAGAGUAUCGUGCCUUGCUCGCUUCUUUCCAGACUUUGACCACUACUCAGAUGACCAUUAUGGAGCGGAUGGACCACUUCCAGCUUCAGCAGGACCAGCAGACUCUCAUUCUCCGUGAGAUUCAACACCACCUUGGUCUUUCACCACCAGCUCCACCUGUAACGGUUCCUUCCAUAGUUGCAGCGGAGGACCCCUCCUAUCCACCAGAGGAGCCUACUACUUGAUCAUACGAUCACUCCUCUCCCUUUUUUGUAUCUAUAUGCUACGUUUUUGGAUGUCUUAUAUAUUUUGGACCACUUUUAUACUGGGAGUGGAUGUAUUUCAUGUUUAUCUUGUAUAUUGUACUCUCUCAGUUUAUAUAGACAUCUUCUUUUUUAUGUAUUUUAGCUAUUCCAUUUUAUUUCCUCUAUUCAUCAAUCUUAUGAUUUUUCUUUUCUUAUGCAACAUGUGGUUUCUCCUGUUCAUUCAGACUCCCUUACUAUCAGGAGGUAUCACUUCCUCCCUUUUAUUAUCUAUUGCUUUUGGAACAUUGGGGACAAUGUUCAUCCUAGUUGGGGGGAGAGUUGAGGAAGUAAUUUGUUGAAUUUUUGGUUAAGUUAUUUUGCUAACAAAUUUUUUUGCAAACUCUCUUUGUUUUCUCAAAGAUAAAUUCUCAAAAGUAAAUGGGAGAAAUUAAAUUCUUAUCUUAUUGCCAUAGUCUCAGAGUUUGUAUUAUGCUUAUUAAAGUUGAUAAAUUGUUGAAGAUCCUUUUGAUUUCAAUCUUAAGUCUUCCACUCUAAUCUUUUCACACACUGAACAUAUUAGAUUCCAGUUNNNNNNNNNNNNNNNNNNNNNNNNNNNNNNNNNNNNNNNNNNNNNNNNNNNNNNNNNNNNNNNNNNNNNNNNNNNNNNNNNNNNNNNNNNNNNNNNNNNNAUAGUUUGACAUACUAUAACUGGAAACUAAGCACCUUAACACUUAGAUUUUUGUGGAAGAUUAAGAAUUGAUCCGUUGGGAGUGGAAAUUAUUUUGAUACUCAAAUUUGCAUAAUGCCCGCUCUUUGCAAGUUGUGAUAGGUAAGUUAUUUGAUAACUCUUGUUGAUGAUUGAGUUUUAUAUCCUUGACUUGCCAUGUGAGAGUUUGAUCCAAUUAUGCCACUUGAUUAUUUUUUGGAGUGAUCAGCAUGAUUUUGUAAAUUAUUUUAUUUUCUAUUUUUCUUUCUUUUUCUCUCCUUCAUUGCUCAGGGACUAGCAAUGUGUCAGUUGGGGGGAGUGAUUACUACCCAAAAAGUGCUAUUUUACACCUUUAAGUCAUUAUGUUUUAAGCACUUUUGUGUAGUAAUUCUUCAUCUUUAUUCCAAUUGGCGUGUUAAGGACCUAGCAAUGACUCCUAAUCAUAUUUGUGGCUAUUUUUAGUGUUUUUGACAUCUUUUUAGAUCAUUAAGACAAGCCAUCCAAAGGAGAAAACCAAAGAGAAGCAAAGAGAAGCAAGGAGGAAAACAGAGGACAGCAGCUGCAGUCUUCUUUGGCACUUUUGGAGCACUUCCCGAAGUCCAUUUUUUACAUGCUAUAUACCAUUUCAAAGCUCAGGAAGUCAAGAAUCUAACGCUUCAAACCGUGUACGAUUUGGAGCUGAAACGAGGAAGAUAUGGCCUUUGGAAGACAACUGCUCCAGGUGUGCGAAUGGUAUGCGAAUGGUGUGCGAAAUUCGCACACCCCCUUAGCUGUGCGAAUGGUGUGCGAAACUCGCACACCCCCCUCAGGUGUGCGAAAAUUCGCACACCCCAUGCGUGGUGCGAAUUUUCCUCUGUUUUUGCCGACUCCACUUUAGAUAUUUUCUUUUGUAUUUUUUG
This 8157-nucleotide long non-coding RNA is filed under the name Vitis vinifera (wine grape). Its description in RNAcentral is "long non-coding RNA (VVIN_LNC006127)". Lineage: Eukaryota; Viridiplantae; Streptophyta; Magnoliopsida; Vitales; Vitaceae. The record is from RNAcentral.